CCUACGGGUGGCAGCAGUGGGGAAUAUUGGGCAAUGGCCGCAAGGCUGACCCAGCCAAGCCGCGUGAGGGAAGAAGGCUCUCCGGUUUUAAAAUUCUUUUUGUCAGGACGCCACGAAUGACAGUUCUCAAUGAAUAAGCGUCGUCUAACUACAGGCCAGCAGCCGCGGUGCUCCGUCGGUGUCAGGCGUUAUGCGGAUUUAAUGGGUGUACAGGGCGUGUAGGCGGGAGUGCAACGCAGAGGUAAAACCGAUGGGCUCAAACCAUGUCCUGCCUUUGAAACUGUAGUUCUUGAGUGAUGGAGAGGUAGGCGGAAUUCCGGGUGUAGCGGUGAAAUGCGUAGAUAUCAGGAGGAACACCAGUUGCGAAGGCGGCAUGCUGGAGAGUAACUGACGCUGAUGCGCGAAAGCGUGGGGAGCAAACAGGAUUAGAUACCCGAGUAGUC
RNAcentral lists this ribosomal RNA (443 nucleotides) under uncultured bacterium. Its description in RNAcentral is "partial 16S ribosomal RNA". It matches the Rfam family "Bacterial small subunit ribosomal RNA", at positions 338 to 795 of the family's 1533-position model. The record is from RNAcentral.